CUCACCACGGGGCUGUGCUCCUUUGAGGCAGGACCAGCCCCACACAAAUCACAGCCUCCCCCACACCUCACACUGCCGGGCACUAAUCUAAACUCAAUGUGUGCAUAUUUUAGGGAAUAUUAGGCACUAUAUUACCCGGGGGUUUAGUUGACACUUUACUCCCCUCAGUGACUGUAAAUCCACCCAUUCUAAUGGCACUGUUCUUAGCUAUUCAGGAUGAAACACCCACUCCUCUCCUGAAACCUUCCGUCCCUCAUCCUGACUCGCAGUUCACAGAGGAAAGUGCCAUACCCGAGGCCCUCUGUCAAUUACAAGGCUAAAAUGCACUAAAAGAAUCACCAAUGAUGGCAGGGCACAGUGGCUCAUGCCUGUAAUCCCAGCACUUUGGGAGGCCAAGGCGGGUGGAUCACCUGAGGUCAGGAGUUUGAGACCAGUCUGGCCAACAUGGUGAAACCCCGUCUCUACUAAAAACACAAAAAUUAGCCGGCCAUGGUGGUGGGCGCCUGUAAUCCCAGCUACUUGGGAGGCUGAGGCAAGAGAAUCACUUGAACCCUGGGGGUGGAGGUUGCAGUGAGCCGAGAUCACACCCCUGCACUCCAGUCUGGGCGACAGAGACUCCAAUUCAACAACAACAACAAAAAACACCAAGGAGAAAUGUUCCACACAAAGGAGGAGAAAGAAUGGGAAUGCAGAAUUCCACUGGGGCUCCUCUAUCCUGUUGGGGUGCCUUAUCACGCACUGACACAGAGGGGCUGACCUCCCCUCUCCCUGCUCCCGCCGCGCGUGGGCACCUGGCCUGGGCGUGGCCUCCAGGGCCUCUCAGCUAGACUACAAAGCUGUUGAAUACAGAGAAUGAAGAGCACAGUGCUCACAGGGCAGUGCCCAGCAGUGGCCUCAGAAGCACUGACCGGCUGCUGGGCCUCCUGUUCCUGGGCUCUCCAGGAGACUUUGGGUCCUAACCAUUUUCCAAACCUAAGCCUCCCAUUUCCCAGGACUCUAUGAGCCCCUCGUAUCUUUCCAAUACGUUUCUUUUUUCUUUGUAACAGAUUCGGUUUUCAUUACUUGUCACUGAAAAGUUCCUAGCUGAUAUGAAAUUCGGUACCAGGAGUGGGUAUUGCAAAUUAUGGAGAAGAGGGGAGAUAAGGAACGUCUGCGGUUGGUUAUCUGCCUUAGAGAGGAGAGAAAAGAGCAAAUGUUCUGAUGAUAUGCAGAGACAGGGACGGAGCAGCCCAGGAAGUUCGGUAAUUAGUUCGCCAAGAGGUGCCUGGGAUGUCAUGCCCGCUGCAAGCCCGGCUCUUGGAGACUGUUGCUUCCAUCCUGAGAUCGUAUGGCUACGAGAAAUCUGAGGCCAUAGGCGGGUGACUGCUUUUAAUGGCGCUGAAAAACUUAGAGAAUUAGAAGUUCAAAUCUCUAAAGUCUGAAUUCAAGCCACAGACUGAAACCUAAAGACUUCCUAGAACAACACGGAAUUUCAUCCCUUACAGAUGCAAGGCCAGGAUGUCUGAAAACCCGUCUUAAGAGUCUGAGCCUUUGGCUGGGUGCGGUGGUUCAUGCCUGUAAUCCCAACACUGUGGGAGGCCAAGGCAGGUGGAUCGCUUAAGUCCAGGAGUUCAAGACCAGCCCAAACGACAUGGUGAAAAACCCUGUCUCUACAAAAAACACGAAAACUAUCCAGGUGUGGUGGCAUAUGCCUGUAGUCCCAGCUACUCAAGAGGCUGAGGUGGGAGAAUUGCUUGAGCCCAGGAGGUAGCAGUGAGCCGAGAUCAUGCCAUAUAGCACUCCAGCCCG
This is a long non-coding RNA of Macaca mulatta (Rhesus monkey), 1788 nucleotides long. Lineage: Eukaryota; Metazoa; Chordata; Mammalia; Primates; Cercopithecidae. The record is from Ensembl.